RNAcentral lists this transfer RNA (73 nucleotides) under Chloroflexi bacterium GWB2_49_20. RNAcentral's name for it is "tRNA-Met". It matches the Rfam family "tRNA". From Rfam's summary of the family: Transfer RNA (tRNA) molecules are approximately 80 nucleotides in length. Their secondary structure includes four short double-helical elements and three loops (D, anti-codon, and T loops). The record is from RNAcentral. RNAcentral also lists the same sequence under 4 other names. Lineage: Bacteria; Bacillati; Chloroflexota.
GGGCCCGUAGCUCAGCGGUUAGAGCAGGCGACUCAUAAUCGCUUGGUCGCUGGUUCGAAUCCAGCCGGGCCCA